Molecule: ribosomal RNA, 485 nt
Filed under: Clostridia bacterium
Lineage: Bacteria; Bacillati; Bacillota; Clostridia
Description: bacterial SSU rRNA
Rfam family: Bacterial small subunit ribosomal RNA
Source: RNAcentral
GUGAGGGAUGAAGGCCUUCGGGUUGUAAACCUCUGUCUUCGGGGACGAUGAUGACGGUACCCGAGGAGGAAGCCACGGCUAACUACGUGCCAGCAGCCGCGGUAAGACGUAGGUGGCGAGCGUUGUCCGGAAUUAUUGGGCGUAAAGGGCGUGUAGGCGGCCUGCUAAGUCAGACGUGAAACCACGAGGCUUAACCUCGUGACUGCGUUUGAUACUGGCGGGCUUGAGGACAGGAGAGGGAAGCGGAACUCCGUGUGUAGCGGUGAAAUGCGUAGAUAUACGGAAGAACACCAGUGGCGAAGGCGGCUUCCUGGACUGUCCCUGACGCUGAGGCGCGAAAGCCAGGGGAGCGAACGGGAUUAGAUACCCCGGUAGUCCUGGCCGUAAACGAUGGGUACUAGGUGUGGGGGGUAUCGACCCCCUCCGUGCCGGAGUCAACACAAUAAGUACCCCGCCUGGGGAGUACGGCCGCAAGGUUGAAACCC